Molecule: long non-coding RNA, 2927 nt
Organism: Aquila chrysaetos chrysaetos
Lineage: Eukaryota; Metazoa; Chordata; Aves; Accipitriformes; Accipitridae
Exons: 9
Source: RefSeq, a predicted model, not a curated record
UUAUAUACCAAGAACAAUCAAGAUUUUCUUUAAGAAGAUGCUUUCCUCAAAAUUUUUAUUUUGUUAAGAAUAGGGCAUUCAGAGAUGAGGCUGGAUGCAUAGUUUUGUCAUGUUUAUGAAGUCAUGAAAACAUCUGGAUACAUUAUGGAAACCCUCAACCAAAAACUUUUUGGAGUCUCUUUUUUAUGUAAUCAUCCAGGCUUACUCCACUGAACUAUGUAUUUAUUGGAUUUGGAUGGAAGAUGAGAUGUGAUGAUACCCACUCUGUUAAGAAUAGCUGUAUUAGGUGGGCCCAAGGGUCCAUCUUGCCCAGUAUCAUGUCUACAGCAGUGGCCAUGAGUGGAUGCCUGAGAAGGGUGAAGCUCAAGGCUGCUCAAAGGUCUGGAUGAGAGGGCUCACCACCUUGGAAUUAAAGCUGGGAAAUGCUUUUGGAAAAACAGAAGAUGUGCUGGAUGAGGAUAGUGUUGUCCCUCUGGCCUGGCAGGUCACAACUGAAAUUAACCAUGAGAUAUUUAACACUGAAGUGGAGGAGAAAGCUGAAAAACUAGGAGAGCAACUACUUGAAAACUGCUGGGAUAAAGAAACUGAGGCCAAGGCUCCAGGCAUCCUGCUUGAAAUGUAGCAUAUGGGGAGAUGCGUCAGGCAGGAAAUCCUUGAAGAAAGGAGCUGGUUUUACAGAAACGGAGGUGGCCCUAGGAGUUUGAGGGGCUGCGAGGACAGACUGCUUGCCUGCCUGCCCGCUGGAAGCCCUGCACCAGAGGCAGAGGCUGUUCCCUGGAGUAAAGGAGUUUCAGGUUGGUGCCACCAAGAUGUGCGUCUGCCUUAGCCAAUGAGCAUCCGUGCAUGCAAGGGAACAUGUCUGUACCCAACAGCAAUGACCUGUCCCACUCCUUCUUCACGCAACACGUGGGAAGCCAUUUACUAAUGCUGUUACUUCCUUGUUUUCACCGGGAUGGGAAACCAGAGAAAUAGGAAAAAUAAGAGUGAAAGCUGUAGCAGUCAUUAGGAUUGUGGAGCUGCCCACUUUUAAUAUACAGUUCCACAGGUCUGGGGUCUGCCCUGAAAUUCCAGCUCCCAGGAGCCUCUGGUCCUCCUGGGGAAGGAUUCACAGAUGGGUCCGAAAUCAGAGCAGCCGAUGUUGUCCUCUCCUGCCAGGAGGGUGAGGACCACCAUCACCAUCACCAUCACCAGCAGUGUUUCCCUAAGGCAAGUGCUGGCUGGACACAGUGGACAGCUCUGCCUUGGAGACAGGCGAGGUGACCUCAGCAGAGGAGGGAUUAAUGUAUAGACAAUGCUAUAUAAUCUCUAGUGUCAGCAGGUGGCACUCCUACUACUUGAUCUCUACACAUAUACGGCUGCUUGGGAGCUGAAACCUGCAGGAUUUCUGGUCCCAGAGCAGGGCAGGUGUCUGGGGAUGGGAAGAUCUCGGUCUCUGGAGCUGUUGCACUCACUGGAACUUGAACUGCUGAACUGUUUCUGCCUUCUGAUUCCUAGCAACGUUGUUAAACAUGAUAGAAAAAGAGAUAGCAUUUACCCUGCACUUCACUGCAGCUGGAGCCUGAGGGAUGUGCCUGCCCUCAGACUUCAUCCUGCUCCGGACUGCAAAAGGUUUAGGAGAUGCUAAUGCAGCCCUUGGCAUCUCCCAAACGCAUGGUUUGGCUCUCUCCUUAUUUCCCAUAUGGAAAGCUGGUAAAAGGCCUGGUCCUGGUCUAUGAACACAGCUCAGCAGACAGACAAGUCCUGGGUUUCUCUCAUAUAUCUAUACAUGCCACACGUGGUCCCAAGGAAGGAAGGGCUGCAUCCGUGGAGCCUGACGGUGUAAUGUGAGACCAUGUGCACAGCAGCAAAGCUGCUGCCUCUGCUCAUACCUAACCUAAAACUCCCCUGCUGCAAUUUAAUUGCAAUCUAAUUAAUCUCUGCUCCUAUGCAGAGCAUACAGUGCAUUUUACACUCUGACUGGGAAUACACAGGAGGAAACUUGCGUGGAAUGAGUGCAGGAAUGUAUGUGAUGCUUCCUGGGGUUGCGAUACCUGGUGCUCAUCAUUAGGAGGAUUAGCAUGUUUUCUAUAGGAAAUGUGUUCUGGCACUCUAAAACCUAGGGCUGGAAGAGGUGCAUGGGGUCAUCAAAUCUUUUUCUGCGUCAGCACAAGACUUCCCCUGCAGCCCUUUUCCAGCAGAUUUCCAGCUCGCUGUGCAUGUCCCGGGCGGCCGGGCUGCUACCGCCGCUGGGCUGAUUACAAACAGGCUGAUGCACUGGGUCAUGCAUCUCCCUUCCUCGGUAGCUGGCCGAUGCACUCACAUCAUGCUUCUCAUUCCUCCUUUUUGCUCUUCCAAACCAUCUCCGCUCCACUCCCUUCUCCGUGUCCCCACCCUCCCAUCUCUUCUCGCGGGUGUCCUGCCCUGACCCUUUGCCGCACACAGGGUUCGGCUUUUCCCGGCCCUGGCGUUGGCACAUUGGAGGGGCUUCAGGAGGUGAUGAUAAGCUGCCUGUGAGUCUGAUAUUUUCGCCUCCGGCCCUGGGUGAUGAGCUACGAGGUCAGGGUGUCCCUGCUGGACCCCCGGGCAUGGGGAGAAAGCUGCAAUGGGAAGGGUCGCUACUGCAGAAGGAUGGCAAGCCCCAUUCUGCAGGGCUGGGUGCAGCUGUCACCCCGUUUAGGGUAGGAUAGCAUCCCUGUGGGUGAUGCACGGAGAAGCAGCCCCCCUGCUCCACCCCAAGGUCCCCACAGCACGCCUCCGAUUCCCACGCUAAUGAGAAACAGCUUAAAACAUGCUUGAACCUCACUUGCUUUUCACACAUUUUCAAGACAUUAGCAGGGCUGGGUUCACCGUCAGGAGGAAAGGCUCCUUAUCCGCCUUGCCUCGCUAAUAAAAUCACUUCCAGAAAAUCGCAGCGCAGGUGGGACGGCUAUAGCUAUGCAAGGGCUGGA